This 256-nucleotide ribosomal RNA is filed under the name uncultured bacterium. RNAcentral's name for it is "partial 16S ribosomal RNA". It matches the Rfam family "Bacterial small subunit ribosomal RNA", at positions 524 to 776 of the family's 1533-position model. The record is from RNAcentral.
UACGUAGGGGUCCGAGCGUUGUCCGGAAUUACUGGGCGUAAAGAGCUCGUAGGUGGUUUGUCGCGUUGUUCGUGAAAACUCACAGCUCAACUGUGGGCGUGCGGGCGAUACGGGCAGACUGGAGUACUGCAGGGGACGACUGGAAUUCCUGGUGUAGCGGUGGAAUGCGCAGAUAUCAGGAGGAACAGCCGGUGGCGAAGGCGGGUCUCUGGGCAGUAACUGACGCUGAGGAGCGAAAGCGUGGGGAGCGAACAGG